CAGGUACGUUGGGUUCUACAAGGGAGUGCAGAGUGCAGGAGCGGCGGUGGCAUGGCAAGUGGACAAGCAACACACGCCCCUGAUAUCCCAGCUGAUUGUGAACUGGGGGCUCAUGACCAUCAGCUACCCAUUGCUUGUGCUGCUGGUGUUCCUGGCCGUGAAGGACGAGGACUACUCUGUUUCUUCAGUGGAGGAGGACGGCAAGGAGAAAGAUAGUAAGCUGUCAGCACCAACCAGCUUCCACUAAGGAUGAUAGAUCACGAUGUUACGGGUUUUUCAUCAAAGUUGUAGAAAUCAAGAAACAACUGAAGUACCUAUGCAAAGAAUAUUUAGGGUGUGGCGUUUUUAUGUAUGUGGAUUACCUGAUGGGGAUGACAGUAUUCGUUUGGUGAUUAUUACUAUUCUCUCCGUGUUAGAUUGAGCAUGCUUGCAUCUACUCCUUGUCCGUGGUGUAACAUAUGCCAUUUUUGAGCAAUGAAAGGUUUAUUAUAUUCCUUGUCCGUGCUGCAGUUCCUAAAAUUUAUGGGUGUACAUCCACAGACAUCAGCACUUUGUACAGCAUAGAAAAUAAUAAAUAAAUGCUAAUUCUGACUGCAUUAACUAAAUCACAAAAACUACCAUUAUCUCUCCUAACAUGCUUGGGCCAGAAAUCAUCAGGUGUUGUUUAUUUCGGCCAGAAAUCACAUAGGCAUUUCUCUUAUUAAAAAAUUUAUGCAAAAUAUCAUUUCUUUUGUCGUGGCUUGGUUUAUUAAUAAUUUUUUUCAAGAAUAACUUAAAUUUGACUAUGUUUGUACAAUCUUUUUUAAUAAGAUGAGGAUCAAACUUGGGGUAAAAAAAGUCAAACAUAAUUUCAGAUGGAGUGAGUAUACUACACAAGAGAGUUGUAGGUUAUUCACUCUCUUUAUGUAGGACAACUCCUGAAGUAUAAUUUGUUUCAUUUGAUAAAGCAUGGAGAUGGACUUCAUAGGAAAACGGCAGUUGAUGAACAACUUUGUGGAUUUUUGAAGACAACUUUUUUUUUUAUCAAAAUGAUUAAUACAGAUUUAGAUCAACAAAUAUGGAUAUUAACAAUGUAUGAUUCUUUUUGGCAUCAAGAAAAAGUUUCAAAUUAAAAUUUCAUGAAUUACGCAGAGCUGUACUUUAUUGAGGUCUACAUUUUUUCAAUAAAUUUCAUAUCUAUCGACAUAAAAGGUACGAGACUCUUAAAGAAGGGUUGCAUAGUAAAAGAAAAUUCCACCAACAAUUAGAUGUAAAGGAAAUUUGGGCAAUCGAAUCCAUGGAAUUUAAAUCCUGCCACUUUGAUCUAUGAUAGUAGUAUACUUUUGUAAACUUUUAUUUCUAUAUUGGAACACUUAUUUUUGCAAAACAUAUUUAAUAAAAAUACAAAAAAGGUAAAGAUAAUCUGGCAUAUACCUGGGCCUGAUCUGCUGAAAUGGCACACUGGGCCUAGGUAUGAUGCAGCCCAAACUGGGGAUAUAAAAGUAUUUGUGGACCGUACUGUUUUGUUGGGAUUUUCUUUUACAAAGUUAGAAACAGUUUCAAACAAAAAUUUCAUGAAUUAUAGAGCUGUUCUUUAUUGAGGUCUACAAUUUUUCAUAUAAAUCUCAUAUCUAUCUAUCGACAUAAAAGGUAUGAGAAUUUUAAAGAAAGGCUGCAUAGCAAAAGAAAAUUCCAGCCUAGUAGCAUCUGGCCCAUGAUGAGCAUGCUGACAGUAACAGCCCCAGCGUUGAUGAUAGAGCCGAAGAGGAAUAAGACGCCACCGAUGAGCAUGACAGAUUGGCGUCCAACCCUUCUUGUCACACGGCUUGCCAUUGUCACACGGCUUGCCACUAAUGAUGACAGGGAGCUACCAAUGUACAUCGAUGACGUGAAUGCUGUAAGAAGCUGGUUGUCGUACAUGCAAUAGGCAUCACGCUUUGCACUCUUCAUCCCGCUCACCACUUCCGGGAAGAACUUAUUCAAGAAUGACUCCAUUUGUGUGACACCACCUGAAAAACAUGCAUCCUUGAGACUAUUAGUAGUUUAGAAAAUCAUAAUUUAGUGUCUUAUUAGUGCAUGCAUCACACGCCUAUCGUCAUUGGUAUAUACUCCCUACAUACCUGUAAAUAAAGUCAUUUUGAAUAAGGUUUGAGUCAAACAUUGUGAAUAUAAAUUAUGAAUAACUUGUAAGUUGUUGAGUUUGCAAAUGUGAAAACCAUAUGAAUAGAUUUGACUUGAAAAAUACUUUCACAAAAAUAUACAUAUACCACUUUUAAAUAAAUAUUUUUAUCAAAGUAAGAAGUCAAAGUUAGGUUUUGGAGACCGUGUCGUUGUCCUAAAUGACUUUCUUUACAUGUACGGAGGGAGUAUUAUGUAAAAUUUAUAGCAACUGGUAUACAGCUCAUUUUGGUAAAAAAAAACUGGUAUAGUACAGCUCAUCAUGAACAUGACAAGAUAUAUAUACACCUCUGGUCUGAUGUACUAGCUAUAGCGACGUCUCAGCAGAAAAAAAAUCAUAUACCCCCAUAAAUAAUAUUGUGCACUUCAUAACAAAAGCAAGUCAAAAGCUGCUCACUUGCGCUGCGUCCCACCAAAAAAUAAGCUUUAGACUUCCGUAGGACACAAGGAUUAAAUAUGAGAGCAUGCAAAUUGUGCACAACAUCCAUCAAUCGUUGAGCCCACAAUGCUUUGCCUAUAUAUUGUUAGAUAUUUUCUUAUGAGUUGUCUAGUUGUUGCCUACAUAUAUUAUAUGUAAUCCUCACUUAUAGUUACAAAUAUUGGCCCACCAAUUCGUGCUCUCCAGCACGGACCAGAAUAAUCUUAUAUAUGUUACAUAAGUUAAAGUUUCACGGAUAAAUUAGUAUGUAUCAGCUCUUGUUGCACCUCUUUCCAUGACAUCAAGUGCUCUAAUCUUUUGAUAUUCUAUUGGUUGCUGCAAUUUUUCAUCCAUGCACUGGUUAAUACACUAGUGGUUUUUGUAUCUUUUUAUUCAAUAUUUCCCUUUUGUGUAUUUUAUUUUGUUUUUGUGUAUUUUAUCAAACUAUAGAUUCUAGGUCAUAGACUACCCACUUAGUUACCAUAUAUAAUGUCACAAAUAACCAUUUGUGCUUUCAGCAAUCAGGAUGAUAAAUUUCAUGUAUCAAAUAACUAUAUGUUUGAUUUACGAAAAAUGGUGGUUAAAAUUAACCAACCAAUAUUAAUAUGUCACAAUGUUUAUUUAAGGUUUAUAAACUUAUAUAAAGCAACAACUUACAAAAUUUUGUCAUGGAGUAUUAACAUAAUUUCAGUGGCAUACGUGGUUUGUUUAUGGGAUACUUUUUUCAUGAUCCAUAAACCGAGAAAAUAAAUAUUUGUCCUAAUGUAUGCAAUCAUAUUACAUAGUGGCAUAUUGUAUUUAUGUUUACUUGGAAUUUAAGAGUUGUAGAAGUGUAUAUAUGGUUAUUUAUUUCUUUUUCAUACUACCUUAUGUUGGUUUUUGGACGUAGUUUUGCGAGAUAUUUUAGUUUGAUUUUACAGUAAUAGAGGUGCAUAAUUUUAAUGCAAAUUUAGAUGGUUAAUUAAAUUUUAUUUUAUAAUGGAAGAGCAGGUAUAUAAAUUUGCAUUUUUUAGGUUCCUUUAAAUUGUAUUUUAUGAUUGCAGAGGUUGUGGGCUGCUCGCUUGGAGGUGACACAGUUAGUGUUUUAAAACUAAAUUAAUAAAUUUCACUGUACGGACGAAAGCCCCUCCAGAAUUCUAAUAAAAAGGAGACAGACAAGAGAGGGGAGGGGUAUUGUGAGGAUGAAAUGUAAAAUAAAGAACAUAAUAACUACUUGCAAAUUGGUAAAGGCGUAAAGCAUGAGUAAUCAAGCUAGCGUGCAUUGGCAAAACAGCCUUACAACAAAACUUUCCUCGCGUCAUUUGAGAGGUAUUAUAUAUUGGAUCUUUUAUGGGCUACAAUUAUAGCUCUAAUUUAUAGUUGAGUGGUUUAAAUAUUUGGUCAACCCUCUAUAUUUGUAAGGGAUUAUGUAGACUUUUUUUAUUGUUUGCUAACUCAUAGUCAUGUCAUUAUACACAUAUAGAGUAUGCUAAUGACAGUGACAUGCCUUCAAAACCACUUUAGAGGGUUAUUUAGAUUCCCAAUAAUUAAAGAAGUAAAAUAUUUUAUUGGUUGGAAAAAAACAUUUGGUUUUAUAGGAGAGGGAAUGGAGUGAAGCAGGUGAAUGCAAAUAAUUAGGUUAACUAUACUUUUUCCAAAAUUAAUUCCCAACCACGAAAAAAAAUAUACACAUCUGAUGUACUAGCUGUGUAUAUAUAUAGCAGAAAAUUUCCAUAUAAUAAGCACAGGUCCCCAUAAAUACCUUUUAUAAAGCCAAGUCAUAAGCUCUUCACUUGUGCUAGCGAAAAGGAUUACUUGAGUUGGAUUAAGUGAUGUUUAGCUCCGAUCCAGAACGAACUAUAUAUAACUGGGAACGGAGUAUAUAGCAGCCAAUAUUCAAGCAUGCAUGUUCAGAGAUGAUUGAUCUACAUCCAUUUGAGAAUACAUAUGCAUGUAGGGAGCAUUAGGGCAGAGCUGGGUGAUGAAGCAGCUAUCAUUUACCUGCGACACCAACAUGGUAGCCGAAGACGAGGCCACAGGAAGCAGCCAUGAGGCAGAUGGCCAUGACAGCGGCCGUCAAGCUACCGCCAUAGCUGUGACCAUCUGCCGCCUCCAACCCUCCUCUUGCCAUCGAACUGCUGACUACUCAAGGACGGGGACACUGCUUAUACUGGCGCAGGGGCAGAGCUUGCAAGUUUUUUGCAGCUUAGGUUGGGCGUUUGGUUCCAAGGCAUGCACAUGAAUUUAUGCACAUGAAGGGGCAUCACACACUUGUAUAUAUAUUGUAUUGUGUUCGGCAUCCUUUGGCUGCUGGCUGUCCGUUUUUGACAUGUCUCCGGCAGUGGUUGACUUUGCCAGCCAGGCUCACGCUAUCAUAUCUACACAAGCAUCCAUGGUAAUAUGGUAUAUGAUGAUGGUCGUUCUGUAGCAGAUUGGAGUCCCACACUGGGCUCAAAGGGUGCGUGGUCGCGCCUCCAUCGCCUCUCUCAAAGGAGAUAUUCAUGGGGAGCACCGGGACUUGUUCCGUUCUCUGCUGCCAUCAGGGAAGGGCUUUAGCUCCGGGCCGUAAGGGCCUUUAGUCCCGGCUACGGAACCGGGGCUAAGGUUUCGGGACUAAAUGUCCCACCUUUAGUCCCGGUUAACAAGUCGAUGACGGCGUAGAAAUGAUGAAAUGAAUCAAUAGCUGGAGAUGAGAGCAAGAACAAGCAACUCCAAAUGAAGAACACAGCAAAAGAGUGAAGAUCGAUGGGCUCGGCCGGGGAAAGAAGAGUUCAAAUAUGGGGAAGGACAUUUAGUUCCGGUUCCAUUUAAAAACCGGGUCUAAAUUCGAACACUAGUCCCGGCCGGUGAGACGGACCGGGACAACAGCUUUUAAUCCCGGUUAGUGGUACCAACCGGGACUAAAGGCUGGACUUUUGUCCCGAUUCGUGAGACCAACCGGAACUAAAGGUCCCUUCUGCCGAUCUCUGACACCAUAGCCGUUGGGCAGGGGACUUUUAGUCCCAGUUGACCUCAGCAACUGGGACUAAAUAUGUUUUUGUCCCGAACGCUGAUUGGGCCGAGAUUAUUGUUCAUUUUGGACAAGUGACCAAAGGCCUGUUCUGUAGUAGUGCAUUAUACAAAGCGAUUACCUCAGUUCAGCUUGGUGAUGGGAGAUCUUGCUCCUUCUAGACGGACGUAUGGUUGGGCGACGAAGCCCUUGCUCAUGUGUACCCAGUCAUUCUCAGCCACUGCACCAACCAGGAGAUUACGGUGAGCGGGUUGAUGGUGGCCGGCCUGCAGCAAUCACUUGUGCCCAUGCUUUGGAGAAGAGCAACGCAAGAAUUACAGCUGGUUGAAUCCAUGAUUGCCAACACAGAGCUGUUGGCUGAGCAUGAUCGUAGGGUGUCGUCAUUUAGUAACGGCAAGAAUGGGCAGGACAGUGGAGCCAUUUACGUACUCUCUCGACUCUUCGCUCCUUUCCCUUUGCUACAGGCGACAAGGAGGCGACGCGAUUUCUCGGCGGCGAUUCCGCCUACCCUUCUCCUCUCCGGCGACCACGUAGGUGCUAGAGAGAGAGGAGGGUCAGGGAAUCGCUUCGCGGGUGUAGUUAGGCUACGUAGAUGUCUCCCUAGGUCUAGGCUGUGCUCGCCGUCAACAAUUGACGGUGGAGCUAGCGUUUGCCGGGGGGAGUCUUCUCCUCCGCGGCCGCGUCUUCCUGGCAGCGCCGGCGAGGCGGUGGCGACGGUGUCGCAGGAAAAUAAAUUCCUCUGGUCUCUUCCUCACCCCUUUGGUGUCUGCUCUUGGCGUCAAUGGCGAGGCCAAGGAAGAGGAGAUUCGCCAGAUCCCUGUUCUGGAGUCCAUGGCCGGCGGCACAUCUUCCUACUCAGGUGAUGUUUUUGCUGGUCCUUUUGCUAAAGGAUGUGGCGCAGCUGUUGGGUGAUGUGGUUGGUGGCCGGAUGGAUCUGCAUCGAUUUCCUCUUGGCGGAGCUUUUCGUCGACGGCGAUGGCGGAUCCAGAAGCAAUUCAUUCUGUUUAUGACUCUGCUAAUACAGUGAUAACUCUGCUAAUACUGUAGAAAUCGCUACUAGCUUAGUUGGGAAAUUCUCACACAAGUGAUCUUAGUUGGGAAAUUGCUCCUCUUCAGUUAAUGUUCUUGAGUGAUUCAAGAUCCUCAUCACUUGACAAUUCAGGAUUGUAGGCAUUAAUCAAAGAUACUAGUUCGGUAGAACAAAGACAUGUUUGUAUAGCGGAGUAAAGUGAUCAAAUAUUAAAUUCCGAAGGGAUCCGAUAGGGCACUCCUCCCAAUUUCUUGUUAGUCAAUUCAGUAGAUUCCACUAACCACUAACCAUUUGAAGCAAACUAUGCUUGCUGCCGUCAUAAUAGUCAACACUUUGAAUUAGGUUGUGUCCUUUUCAUAUAAAGAAUCUAACUGAAGGCGUGGAACAUUGGACUCUUUUCCUGUACUGAGCGAUGUGAAUUGAGAAUCACAGAAGAUAUCUCGCUAGGAGUUUAUAUGAGUGGCCACCUUGCAAUAUUCUUUAGAUGCUGAAACAUGUUAGACAGCUUAAGUUCAUCUUUAAGAUACUGAAACAGAGUUCAUGUUAGACAGCUUAAGUUCAUCUUUAUGAUGCCAAAUUCCAUCUUGCAAUAUCCUUUUCCCAGCUUAAGUUCAUCUUAAGGCAAGAUACUAGUAGGUCAUCUUUGGUAGCGAAGGACUUCCAACAAUCUUUAGAAGAUUUGGGGAUAGAGAUUCUUAUCCAGCUUUCCCGCAAAAGAUUCUUAUCCGACAUGCUUUUUUUUCCCCUUUCGAUAAAGUUUAAUUUGGGACAGCAUUUAGCAGUAAAUUAGUAUGCUGCUGCUGCCAGGCUGUGUGAAAAGGGGAAAGAAAGAAGAGACAAAACAGACAGGUUCUUAUGUUCUGUGGAUUAAUAAACAAACCUCUGUAUGGUUGAGUGCAAAACUCUUGAAGAGGCCUGAUAAAAUUCCUUUAUCUAAAAAAGAUAAAUAAACAAACCUCUUUGUCUGAAUCACUCUCUCUCAACUCUUCUGACGGAUGGAUGCAGGUACGUUGGGUUCUACAAGGGAGUGCAGAGUGCAGGAGCGGCGGUGGCAUGGCAAGUGGACAAGCAACACACGCCCCUGAUAUCCCAGCUGAUUGUGAACUGGGGGCUCAUGACCAUCAGCUACCCAUUGCUUGUGCUGCUGGUGUUCCUGGCCGUGAAGGACGAGGACUACUCUGUUUCUUCAGUGGAGGAGGACGGCAAGGAGAAAGAUAGUAAGCUGUCAGCACCAACCAGCUUCCACUAAGGAUGAUAGAUCACGAUGUUACGGGUUUUUCAUCAAAGUUGUAGAAAUCAAGAAACAACUGAAGUACCUAUGCAAAGAAUAUUUAGGGUGUGGCGUUUUUAUGUAUGUGGAUUACCUGAUGGGGAUGACAGUAUUCGUUUGGUGAUUAUUACUAUUCUCUCCGUGUUAGAUUGAGCAUGCUUGCAUCUACUCCUUGUCCGUGGUGUAACAUAUGCCAUUUUUGAGCAAUGAAAGGUUUAUUAUAUUCCUUGUCCGUGCUGCAGUUCCUAAAAUUUAUGGGUGUACAUCCACAGACAUCAGCACUUUGUACAGCAUAGAAAACA
RNAcentral lists this long non-coding RNA (8166 nucleotides) under Sorghum bicolor (sorghum). RNAcentral's name for it is "long non-coding RNA (SBIC_LNC009794)". The record is from RNAcentral. Lineage: Eukaryota; Viridiplantae; Streptophyta; Magnoliopsida; Poales; Poaceae.